Molecule: long non-coding RNA, 1724 nt
Organism: Spinacia oleracea (spinach)
Lineage: Eukaryota; Viridiplantae; Streptophyta; Magnoliopsida; Caryophyllales; Amaranthaceae
Exons: 2
Source: RefSeq, a predicted model, not a curated record
AUGUGAGUACCAGUAACACAAAUAAUUUGUAUUGGUCCUUCUUAGCAAUGUAUUGGUAUACCAAUACCAUACUAUUUCAUCAAAAGAAAAAUAAAAAAAAUACCAUACUAGUCUUAGUACCAAUACCAAAUUAACGAGUACCAAUUACAAGCCACUUGUGUCCAUAUGAAUAUGGACACAAGUUACUUGAGGCCAAAACUUCCUCCAUAUGUAUGCAACUAAAAAUGUGGGAGCACAAUGCAACGUCAACAUGGCACGAAGUCAAAAGGAUGUAAUGCCCGGGAGCCUGCAGAAAUAAAAUACCGUUAGGAUGAAUCAAAUUCGUUGCCCGGUGUUUUCAUGAAUACAAGGGUUUUAAAAACCUUAGAUUCUCACAAAAAUCUUAAAGUUUACACCUUAUUUUCGUCGAGUUCACUCAAUCACUCAUACUUGAGCGACUUUUAAGAAGGGCACGGAAACACUAAAGCAGUAUUCCACUUUGGAACAAUUGUUGUGAUUCACGAUUUUCAUGUACGUGAUUUUUGGCUGCGCACAACCUGUUCGAUGAAAUGCCUGAAUGAAGAUUUCGACGAUCCUCUAAGGUUCGAGAUUGCUUAUUUUGCAAAUGUAUGUAAAUACGAGGUGAUUGGAGAUGAUUUUCAUAUAAUUUCUGUUAUUCUGUCUUUGAUGUCAAUUGAAUAGGCAAUAAUUCUAAUUUAUCGUAUAAAACACAUGAACAAGAAAAGGCCACGCAAAUCUAAUCGUGUGGCGAGGCUUACAAGCUGACUUAAAUUCAUGUCAUUCAAUUCUUUAAAUGGGUAUGAUGUUAAAUGUUAUGGUACAGACAGCUCCAUACCCAGUGAAGUGAUCGAUGGUUGUGCUAAUUCCGAAACUUUUUGUUGUUUGUCAAGUGGCUCUUAUGUCCAGCUUAAUCCAUUGAGGUCCAAAUGCCUGAUGCUUGAAGGGACAUCAGGUUCGUCUUGGGUAUUCAAGUCAAGAUCACCACUAAAUGGAGGAAGCUUGUAGUUCUUAUUAUCGAGCUGAAAUGUGUUCUGAUCCCGUGAGUCUCCUCCAACGCCGACACUCAUGGACAAAUCACUGCAGGCUCCAUCCACUCGGAACAUCAUUUUUCCUGUGUCUUGCGGAGUUGUAGCAGGGAAAAGUAUUGUGGCAUGCUCUUUUAGAUUUCCAUUGAAAUCAUUUCCCUCCAAGAAUCUGGUAUCAUUAUAUGGUCUUAACCCCAACUCGCUGUUGUGCAUACCAUGCUCUCUUUGCUGAGGUCCAUCACAUGAGGUUAAGCAGCUAUCAAUAGAACAAUCUCCCAUUGGUUUGUGGGGUUGAAUUUGCUGCUUAGGGCAUGUUCCGUGCUGUUCUUCUGCUAUCUCUGCGAAGGCCAAGUUUAAGCAUUGGUUGGAUACCUUUGAAACUAAUUCAGAGAGCUGAAGUUUCGCAGCCUCCAGACCAACUACACCAAUGUUCUGCUUUCCUAGCGUCUCCUGAGCUUUUUCUAAGACUGCUUGAAGGUAUUUUCCUUGAGCCUCUAUCCGCAGCUGUAAACGCCUCUGUACCUAAAUUCACAUAAUUUCACAAGGGCUAAAUAAGAAUGUCUAAUGUCACAAGUAACAAAAUUCUCUAAACGAUAAAAUCAUGUCUCAUACCACAUACAUGUAUCAAGCUUUUACGGAUGUGUCUAAGUGUGGAGUGUUUUCUUUACUUUUUUUUUUUUUUUUUUUUAAUUUUAUAUA